CCUACGGGUGGCUGCAGUGGGGAAUAUUGCACAAUGGGCGCAAGCCUGAUGCAGCCAUGCCGCGUGUGUGAAGAAGGCCUUCGGGUUGUAAAGCACUUUCAGCGGGGAGGAAGGCGUUAAGGUUAAUAACCUUGUCGAUUGACGUUACCCGCAGAAGAAGCACCGGCUAACUCCGUGCCAGCAGCCGCGGUAAUACGGAGGGUGCAAGCGUUAAUCGGAAUUACUGGGCGUAAAGCGCACGCAGGCGGUCUGUCAAGUCGGAUGUGAAAUCCCCGGGCUCAACCUGGGAACUGCAUUCGAAACUGGCGGGCUAGAGUCUUGUAGAGGGGGGUAGAAUUCCAGGUGUAGCGGUGAAAUGCGUAGAGACCUGGAGGAAUACCGGUGGCGAAGGCGGCCCCCUGGACAAAGACUGACGCUCAGGUGCGAAAGCGUGGGGAGCAAACAGGAUUAGAUACCCGAGUAGUC
Molecule: ribosomal RNA, 465 nt
Filed under: uncultured Klebsiella sp.
Lineage: Bacteria; Pseudomonadati; Pseudomonadota; Gammaproteobacteria; Enterobacterales; Enterobacteriaceae
Description: bacterial SSU rRNA
Rfam family: Bacterial small subunit ribosomal RNA
Source: RNAcentral